AACAUAGCUUUAAGUAUUUAUUUAAAGUUUUGCCUGCCCGGUGAUUUUUUUAACGGCUGCGGUAAUACGUGUUAAAGUAGCAUAAUAAUUUGUCUUUUUACUGAGGACUUGUAUGAAAGGCUUAACGAAGUUUUUUUGUCUUUUAUUAUUAAGUAAACUUUAUUUUUUGGUGAAAAAUCCAAAAUUAAGUUAAGGGACGAGAAGACCCUGUAGAGUUUUAUAAAAAACUCAAAAUUUUUGAGUGUUUAUUUAGUUGGGGCAACUAAGGAUCAAUAAAAAUCCUUAUAAAUAAAUUUAAGAUAUUAAAUUAAGAUAACUCUAAGAAAAAUUUUAAACUACCUCAGGGAUAACAGCGUUAUUUAAUCAGAGAGUUCUAAUUGAAGAUUAAGUUUGCGACCUCGAUGUUGGACUAGGGUAAUAUUAAUAUGUAGAAGUAUUAAGAAGAGGCCUGUUCGGCCUGUAAUACCYUACAUGAUCU
Molecule: ribosomal RNA, 478 nt
Filed under: Steginoporella magnifica
Lineage: Eukaryota; Metazoa; Bryozoa; Gymnolaemata; Cheilostomatida; Steginoporellidae
Description: partial 16S ribosomal RNA
Rfam family: Bacterial large subunit ribosomal RNA
Source: RNAcentral